Molecule: non-coding RNA, 29 nt
Filed under: Mus musculus (house mouse)
Lineage: Eukaryota; Metazoa; Chordata; Mammalia; Rodentia; Muridae
Source: RNAcentral
UNCCACAUUGCAAUGAGGGGCUUGCUAGU